Molecule: ribosomal RNA, 253 nt
Filed under: uncultured bacterium
Lineage: Bacteria
Description: partial 16S ribosomal RNA
Rfam family: Bacterial small subunit ribosomal RNA
Source: RNAcentral
GACAGAGGGUGCUAGCGUUGUUCGGAAUUACUGGGCGUAAAGGGCGCGUAGGCGGUCUGCUAAGUUCGGUGUGAAAGCCCCUGGCUCAACUGGGGAACUGCGCUGGAAACUGGCAGACUCGAGUACCGGAGAGGAGAGUGGAAUUCCUGGUGUAGCGGUGAAAUGCGUAGAUAUCAGGAGGAACACCGGUGGCGAAGGCGGCUCUCUGGACGGAUACUGACGCUGAGGCGCGAAAGCGUGGGGAUCAAACAGG